Molecule: transfer RNA, 75 nt
Filed under: Fimbriimonas ginsengisoli
Lineage: Bacteria; Bacillati; Armatimonadota; Fimbriimonadia; Fimbriimonadales; Fimbriimonadaceae
Description: tRNA-Val
Rfam family: tRNA
About the family: Transfer RNA (tRNA) molecules are approximately 80 nucleotides in length. Their secondary structure includes four short double-helical elements and three loops (D, anti-codon, and T loops).
Source: RNAcentral
GGGCGGUUAGCUCAGCGGUAGAGCGCUUCGUUCACACCGAAGAAGUCACAGGUUCAAAUCCUGUACCGCCCACCA